AUAAAAUAAAUUUGCCUCAAUGGAGGCAUUAACUGUUGCCUCAAUUGAGGCAAAAAGCUUCCGCAUUACACAAACCCGAGGUUCCCUCGGGUUUGCGUAAUGCAACCCCAUGCCUCAUUAUGCUGCAUUAUAAUGCAGUAUAAUGAGGUCUCAAAUUUUGCCAAACAUUUUCUUGGUAAUAAACUAAUGUGAAUAGUGAUAUAAUACCACACAAUCCCAUGCACCAAACACGCCCUUAAGGAUAUGGUAUGAAUUGUCAUUUAUAAUUUAACCACGUAGAUGACAACAUGUUGUAAUUAAUCCUUUGGAGUAAAAGUUAUAUCACCAAAAACAAUGGUAUCUUCAAUUAGAGCCCCUCAAGGAUGUAAAAUAUCAUUUACAAUUAAUGACAAAGACAACAUGCCAAAAUCAGGGGCGUUUCCAGGACUUAUUAUUACCCCGGGCUAAAU
RNAcentral lists this long non-coding RNA (449 nucleotides) under Citrus x clementina. Its description in RNAcentral is "Citrus clementina (C. clementina) long non-coding RNA (CCLE_LNC005511)". The record is from RNAcentral. Lineage: Eukaryota; Viridiplantae; Streptophyta; Magnoliopsida; Sapindales; Rutaceae.